AAAAUGGACAUUGCACUACCUGAGGACCUAGCUAUACCUCUCUUGGGCAUAUACCCAAAAGAUGCCCCAACAUAUAACAAAGACACAUGCUCCAUUAUGUUCAUAGCAGCCUUAUUUAUAAUAGCCAGAAGCAGGAAAGAACCCAGAUGCCCUUCAACAGAGGAAUGGGUUCAAAAUAAUGUGGUACAUCUGCACAAUGGAGUACUACUCAGCUAUCAAAACAGUGACUUCAUGAAAUUCAUAGGCAAAUGGAAUGAACUAGAAAAUAUUAUCCUGAGUGAGGUUACUCAAUCACAGAAAAACACACUUGGUAUGUACUCAUUGAUAAGUGGAUAUUAGCCAAAAAGCUCGAAUUACCCAAUAUGUAAUCCACAGAUCACAGGAAGCUAAAGAAGAG
RNAcentral lists this long non-coding RNA (397 nucleotides) under Rattus norvegicus (Norway rat). Its description in RNAcentral is "long non-coding RNA NONRATT030746". The record is from RNAcentral. Lineage: Eukaryota; Metazoa; Chordata; Mammalia; Rodentia; Muridae.